Molecule: ribosomal RNA, 254 nt
Filed under: uncultured bacterium
Lineage: Bacteria
Description: partial 16S ribosomal RNA
Rfam family: Bacterial small subunit ribosomal RNA
Source: RNAcentral
UACGGAGGGUGCAAGCGUUAUCCGGAUUCACUGGGUUUAAAGGGUGCGUAGGCGGGCAGGUAAGUCCGUGGUGAAAUCUCUGAGCUUAACUCAGAAACUGCCAUGGAUACUAUUUGUCUUGAAUGUUUGUGGAGGUAAGCGGAAUAUGUCAUGUAGCGGUGAAAUGCUUAGAUAUGACAUAGAACACCAAUUGCGAAGGUAGCUUACUACACAAAUAUUGACGCUGAGGCACGAAAGCGUGGGGAUCAAACAGG